This 708-nucleotide ribosomal RNA is filed under the name uncultured bacterium. Its description in RNAcentral is "bacterial SSU rRNA". It matches the Rfam family "Bacterial small subunit ribosomal RNA", at positions 28 to 764 of the family's 1533-position model. The record is from RNAcentral.
AAUGAACGCUGGCGGCAGGCUUAACACAUGCAAGUCGAACGGGGUUAUAUUGUAGCUUGCUAUGGUAUAACUUAGUGGCAGACGGGUGAGUAAUGUAUAGGAAUCUACUUAGUAGUGCGGAAUAAUUGUUGGAAACGGCAGCUAAUACCGUAUACGCCCUACGGGGGAAAGGUUUAUUGCUAUUAGAUGAGCCUAUAUUAGAUUAGCUAGUUGGUAAGGUAAUGGCUUACCAAGGCAAUGAUCUAUAGCUGAUCUGAGAGGAUGAUCAGCCACACUGGAACUGAGAUACGGUCCAGACUCCUACGGGAGGCAGCAGUGGGGAAUAUUGGACAAUGGGCGAAAGCCUGAUCCAGCCAUGCCGCAUGAGUGAAGAAGGCCUUUGGGUUGUAAAGCUCUUUUGGUGAGGAAGAUAAUGACGGUACUCACAGAAGAAGUCCUGGCUAACUCCGUGCCAGCAGCCGCGGUAAUACGGAGAGGGCUAGCGUUAUUCGGGGUUAUUGGGCGUAAAGAGCGCGUAGGCUGGUUAGCAAGUUAAAAGUGAAAUCCCAAAGCUCAACUUUGGAAUUGCUUUUAAAACUGCUAACCUAGAGAUUGAAAGAGGAUAGAGGAAUUCCUAGUGUAGAGGUGAAAUUCGUAAAUAUUAGGAGGAACAUCAGUGGCGAAGGCGUCUAUCUGGUUCAAAUCUGACGCUGAGGCGCGAAAGCGUGG